GGGAGUAUAGCUCAGUGGUAGAGCGUUCGACCGAAGAUCGAGAGGUCCCUGGUUCAAAUCCAUGUGUUAUCU
This 72-nucleotide transfer RNA is filed under the name Diabrotica virgifera virgifera (western corn rootworm). It matches the Rfam family "tRNA". Rfam says of the family: Transfer RNA (tRNA) molecules are approximately 80 nucleotides in length. The record is from Rfam by way of RNAcentral. Lineage: Eukaryota; Metazoa; Arthropoda; Insecta; Coleoptera; Chrysomelidae.